This 771-nucleotide ribosomal RNA is filed under the name uncultured bacterium. RNAcentral's name for it is "bacterial SSU rRNA". It matches the Rfam family "Bacterial small subunit ribosomal RNA", at positions 8 to 796 of the family's 1533-position model. The record is from RNAcentral.
AGAGUUUGAUCCUGGCUCAGGACGAACGCUGGCGGCGUGCUUAACACAUGCAAGUCGAGCGGUAAGGCUCCUUCGGGGGUACACGAGCGGCGAACGGGUGAGUAACACGUGAGCAAUCUGCCCCCGGCUUCGGGAUAACUCCAAGAAAUUGGGGCUAAUACCGGAUGUGACCGCUGGCCGCAUGGUCUGGUGGUGGAAAGGGUUUCCGGCUGGGGAUGGGCCCGCGGCCUAUCAGCUUGUUGGUGGGGUAGUGGCCUACCAAGGCGACGACGGGUAGCCGGCCUGAGAGGGUGACCGGCCACACUGGGACUGAGACACGGCCCAGACUCCUACGGGAGGCAGCAGUGGGGAAUAUUGCGCAAUGGGCGGAACCUGACGCAGCAACGCCGCGUGGGGGAUGACGGCUUCGGGUUGUAAACCUCUUUCAGCAGGGACGAAGCGGAAGUGACGGUACCUGCAGAAGAAGCACCGGCCACUACGUGCCAGCAGCCGCGGUAAUACGUAGGGUGCAAGCGUUGUCCGGAAUUAUUGGGCGUAAAGAGCUCGUAGGCGGUUUGUCGCGUCGGCUGUGAAAACCCGGAGCUCAACUCCGGGCCUGCAGUCGAUACGGGCAGACUUGAGUGUUGCAGGGGAGACUGGAAUUCCUGGUGUAGCGGUGAAAUGCGCAGAUAUCAGGAGGAACACCGGUGGCGAAGGCGGGUCUCUGGGCAACAACUGACGCUGAGGAGCGAAAGCGUGGGGAGCGAACAGGAUUAGAUACCCUAGUAGUCC